UACGUAGGUGGCGAGCGUUGUCCGGAUUUACUGGGCGUAAAGGGAGCGUAGGCGGACUUUUAAGUGAGAUGUGAAAUACUCGGGCUCAACUUGAGUGCUGCAUUUCAAACUGGAAGUCUAGAGUGCAGGAGAGGAGAAUGGAAUUCCUAGUGUAGCGGUGAAAUGCGUAGAGAUUAGGAAGAACACCAGUGGCGAAGGCGAUUCACUGGACUGUAACUGACGCUGAGGCUCGAAAGCGUGGGGAGCAAACAGG
This 253-nucleotide ribosomal RNA is filed under the name uncultured bacterium. Its description in RNAcentral is "partial 16S ribosomal RNA". It matches the Rfam family "Bacterial small subunit ribosomal RNA", at positions 524 to 776 of the family's 1533-position model. The record is from RNAcentral.